ACCGGCGGCCCGAGUGGUGAGUCGUGAUUAUUGGGUCGUAAAGGGUCCGUAGCCGGUUUGGUCAGUCCUCCGGGAAAUCUGAUAGCUCAACUAUCAGGCUUCGGGGGAUACUGCCAGACUGGAACCGGGAGAGGUAAGAGGUACUACAGGGGUAGGAGUGAAAUCUUGUAAUCCCUGUGGGACCACCUGUGGCGAAGGCGUCUUACCAGGACGGGUUCGACGGUGAGGGACGAAAGCUGGGGGCACGAACCGGAUUAGAUACCCGGGUAGUCCCAGCCGUAAACGAUGCUCGCUAGGUGUCAGGCAUGGCGCGACCGUGUCUGGUGCCGCAGGGAAGCCGUGAAGCGAGCCACCUGGGAAGUACGGCCGCAAGGCUGAAACUUAAAGGAAUUGGCGGGGGAGCACAACAACGGGUGGAGCCUGCGGUUUAAUUGGACUCAACGCCGGACAACUCACCGGGGGCGACAGCAAUAUGUAGGCCAAGCUGAAGACUUUGCCUGAAUCGCUGAGGGGAGGUGCAUGG
RNAcentral lists this ribosomal RNA (523 nucleotides) under uncultured archaeon. RNAcentral describes it as "bacterial SSU rRNA". It matches the Rfam family "Archaeal small subunit ribosomal RNA", at positions 475 to 997 of the family's 1478-position model. The record is from RNAcentral.